This 492-nucleotide ribosomal RNA is filed under the name uncultured bacterium. Its description in RNAcentral is "partial 16S ribosomal RNA". It matches the Rfam family "Bacterial small subunit ribosomal RNA", at positions 29 to 507 of the family's 1533-position model. The record is from RNAcentral.
AGUGAACGCUGGCGGUAGGCCUAACACAUGCAAGUCGAACGGCAGCACAGUAAGAGCUUGCUCUUACGGGUGGCGAGUGGCGGACGGGUGAGGAAUACAUCGGAAUCUACUUUUUCGUGGGGGAUAACGUAGGGAAACUUACGCUAAUACCGCAUACGACCUACGGGUGAAAGCAGGGGAUCUUCGGACCUUGCGCGAUUGAAUGAGCCGAUGUCGGAUUAGCUAGUUGGCGGGGUAAAGGCCCUCCAAGGCGACGAUCCGUAGCUGGUCUGAGAGGAUGAUCAGCCACACUGGAACUGAGACACGGUCCAGACUCCUACGGGAGGCAGUAGUGGGGAAUAUUGGACAAUGGGCGCAAGCCUGAUCCAGCCAUACCGCGUGGGUGAAGAAGGCCUUCAGGUUGUAAAGCCCUUUUGUUGGGAAAGAAAAGCAGCAGGUUAAUACCCCGCUGUUCUGACGGUACCCAAAGAAUAAGCACCGGCUAACUUCGUG